UCCGUCCAGGCUCCAUGCCAAAAAGGGAGAGGAAGUGGUGCAUGUGUUACCUUUCUAGCAAUGGGGGGAAGCCAGGUCACGAUGCUUCCCCCCAUGGGAUGAGAGGCAUGGUAAGGCAGGUGAUGCAGGGCAUGGAGCGACAGGUUUUUCAUGCCCCUUGCUGGGAGCCCAUGGAUUCGCUGCAAUGGGGACAAAUCAAUGUGUGCCGUCCGCCAGACAAUAAAAAAAAACUAUAAAGCUGAAACGUGCCGUCCUUUAUCCGGGCGAACUGCAAAUCCCUAUAAGCUGUCCUAAAAUAUUGAACGACUGAGUCUGGAGAACUUCAAAAAAGGAUGUUUAUUCAUACAAGGUUGUAAACCUGGCACAGAUCUUAAAGUUGCAGAAAAUGAAACAAAUUUCCAUAGGUUUUAGUUGCAGAAUUAUCCCUGGUUCCAGAAGGCAAAGGUGAUUAUAAAACCACUAUACCCUAAUCACGCUGUCUAUAUUAGAAGGAGAAACUCUUUCCUUCCCUAUCUUUACAGCAAAGAUUAGUUCUAGAAGCGAUGGAAUAACCCUGCUCCUCUAACUAGAUUUCCUAUUCCAGAUCAGUAUAACUCAAUACUUAUCUAAUUUGGAUAGGCUUAGAUUGGCCUGGUUUUGAGGAUGAUUUGUCCCAGUUAGCCUUGCACAGCUCCAGCACGUUGGAAGACUAUAGCCAGAAUGAAACUCUAAAAUGGAGACUAGACCCUGGUAAAAAGGGCGGUCCUAAGAUGUUGUACUCUUUGACCAAUCAUUGCAAAGAAAACUGCAGCCAGCUCUUGCAGACUUCAAGCCACCUUUCCUGGGCUUUUGCAGCCAGAGGCUGAAACAAAAUGCAAAGGAGGGAAAACAAUCAAACGACCAAUAAGUAAGGCAAACCAUCGUCCUGGGGGACGGAACACUCCCCGCUUAAAUUCCCAGGAUGUGGGAAUUUACCACUCAAAAACAUACAAACACCUUUGCACAUAUGACAAUACAAACACUAGAACUUUAAACAUCUCCAAUAAGCAACACGAGGUCACUAAUUGGUCUGUCCAAAAUGGACACUUUGUCUCUGUUGCAAGUCUUUAAUUGAACUUUCCUGACCUUACCAUCCGGGCAAGGAAAGGUCUUUAAUACAAUGCCCAUGGGCCACGCAUGGCGGGGCAAGUCUUUGUCCUUUAACAACACAACGUUGUUAACCUCAAUGUUGUCCUGUGGGCUUUGCCAGAUUCUUCUAGCUUGAAGCUGGCUUAAGUACUCAGCUUUCCACCUUUUCCAAAAGUGGUUGGCCAAGGACUGCACCUGUUUCCACAGGGCACGGUGAGUUCCGUCCGGAACUGGCAACAUGAUGUCCUUCCAUCCUGGCACCUUUUGUGUCAAAAUAAGUGCAGGAGUCAGUGGUUGUAAGUUCUCAGGGUCACUGGUAAGGGGAACCAGCGGCCGGUUGUUGAUAAUUGCGGUAACUUCCGCCAUAAGUGUCACCAAAACAUCAUGCGUCAAUGACCUAUGACUCAAAAGCAUGGCAUUAAGGAUUUUGCGACUAAUACCAAUCAUCCUCUCCCAAACACCACCCAUGUGGGAGGCGUGAGGAACAUUGAAAGUCCACAUAAUUUGUUCAGUAUUCGUAAAGUUCUGAACCUUUGGGUCUCUCCCAAACCUAGACACACAAUUGAGUUCUUUGGUCGCACCUACAAAAUUGGUGCCACAGUCCGACCGAAUUGACUUAAUUGGCCCUCUGAGGGCUAUGAACCUUUUUAAUGCGUUUAAAAAUGAUGAAGUGUCCAUCCCUUCUAUGACUUCUAUAUGGACAGCUCGUAUUACUAAACAAGUAAACAAAACUGCCCACCUCUUGUUAUUUACAACACCACCCCUGGUUUUCCUAGUGACAACCUCCCAAGGACCAAACACAUCGAUUCCCACAUGGGAAAAGGGUGGGUCUGUCAAAGUCCUAUCCUGAGGUAGUUCUGCCAUACUGACUUUGACAGUUUCGCCUAAGGCGCCUGCAUUUAACACAUUUGAAAAUACAACUGUUGACCAACCUUUUGGCAUUAACUACCCACAGACCUUCAUUUCUAAGGGCUGCCUCAGUUAGAGUUCUACCCUGAUGAUGGAUCCUUUCAUGGUGAUGCCGAACGAGCAGCAAUGCAGUGUGACUAUUAGGGGGUAUGAUGAUGGGGUUUUUUAUGCACGCCUUGAGUUUAGCUUUGGCUAACCUUCCUCCAACUCUCAAAAUACCCUCCUUGUCUAGAAAUGGGUUUAACUCAU
Long non-coding RNA from Anolis carolinensis (green anole), 2265 nucleotides. The record is from Ensembl. Lineage: Eukaryota; Metazoa; Chordata; Lepidosauria; Squamata; Anolidae.